AGUGAACGCUGGCGGUAGGCCUAACACAUGCCAGUCGAACGGCAGCACAGUAAGAGCUUGCUCUUACGGGUGGCGAGUGGCGGACGGGUGAGGAAUACAUCGAAUCUACUUUUUCGUGGGGGAUAACGUAGGGAAACUUACGCUAAUACCGCAUACGACCUACGGGUGAAAGCAGGGGAUCUUCGGACCUUGCGCGAUUGAAUGAGCCGAUGUCGGAUUAGCUAGUUGGCGGGGUAAAGGCCCACCAAGGCGACGAUCCGUAGCUGGUCUGAGAGGAUGAUCAGCCACACUGAACUGAGACACGGUCCAGACUCCUACGGGAGGCAGCAGUGGGGAAUAUUGGACAAUGGGCGCAAGCCUGAUCCAGCCAUACCGCGUGGGUGAAGAAGGCCUUCGGGUUGUAAAGACCUUUUGUUGGGAAAGAAAAGCAGCAGGUUAAUACCCCGCUGUUCUGACGGUACCCAAAGAAUAAGCACCGGCUAACUUCGUG
This 490-nucleotide ribosomal RNA is filed under the name uncultured bacterium. RNAcentral's name for it is "partial 16S ribosomal RNA". It matches the Rfam family "Bacterial small subunit ribosomal RNA", at positions 29 to 507 of the family's 1533-position model. The record is from RNAcentral.